Molecule: long non-coding RNA, 8223 nt
Organism: Neofelis nebulosa (Clouded leopard)
Lineage: Eukaryota; Metazoa; Chordata; Mammalia; Carnivora; Felidae
Exons: 3
Source: RefSeq, a predicted model, not a curated record
AGUGUGCAUGUGUGUGUGCACAUGUGAGGUGGAUGGGGGAGCAGAGGGAGAGAGAGUCUUAAACAGGCUCCAUGCCCAGCACCCAGCAAGGAGCCCAAUGCAACGCAGGGCUCCAACUCAUGACCCUGAGAUCAUAAUUUCAGUCAGAAUCAAGAGUCAGAUGCUUAACGGCUUAACCAGCUGAGCACCCAGAUGCCCCUGGUGUCUUUUUUUUUUUUAAUUUUUUUAAUGUUUAUUUAAUUUUGAGAGAGAGAGAGAGAGAGAGAGAGAGCGAGCGAGCGCAGGGGAGAGGCAGAGAGAGAAGGAAACAGAAUCCGAAGCACAGCUUCAGCAUCCGAAUCUGAGCUGCCAGCACAGAGCCCAACGUGGGGCUUGAAUGCACAAACCGUGCUUUCAUGACCUGAGCUGAAGUCAGACGCUUAUCCAACUGAGACACCCAGCCGCCCGUGGUGUCUUUUGAUUAAUAGAAAUUCUUGAUUUUAAUUUAGCAGUCCAAUUUAUCGAUCCAUUUUUCUUUUAUGGUUAGUACUGUUUUGUGUCCUGUUUAAGAAAUCUUUGUUUACCCCAAGGCCAUAAAUAUAUUAUCCUAUUUUAUCUUCUGUCUCGUUUUACCUUUUAUUUUUAAAUCAACAAUCCAUAUAGAAUUGAUUUAUUUGUUAAUGAGGUAUGAGGUAAGGAUCAUGGUUUAUUAUUUCUCAUAUGGCUAUCUAGUUGACCCCAGCCCAUCUUUUCCUCACUACUUCGUGCUAUCUUCUUCAUCAUGAGUCAAAUGACCAUAUGUAUGGAUUUGUUUCUAGACUCUAUCAUUGUACCAGUGUCAUACUGUUUUAAUUACUGUAGCUUUAGGGGCGCCUGGGUGGCUGUCAGUUAGGUGUCUGACUCUUGAUUUUGGCUUACAGUUCAUGGGAUCGAGCCCUGCAUCAGGCUCUGGGCUGACAGCAGGGAGCCUGCUUGGGAUUCUCUCUCCUCGGCUCCCUCUGCCCCUCCCCCACUCGUGCUCCCUCUCUCUCAAAAUAAACACUUUUAAAAGAUUUUUUUAAAAAUUACUGUAGCUUUGUAAUAAAUCUUGAUACCUCUUAGUGUAAGUCCUCCAGUUCUGUGUUUCUAGAUCAGAGGUUGGCAAACUUUUUCUGUGAAUGGCCAGAUGGUAAGUAUUUUUAGGCUUUGCAGGCCAUGUUUGGUCUCUAUCACUUAUUUUUCUUUCUUCCUUUUGUUUUUCACAUUUAAAAAUGUAAAAAAGAUCACUCUUAACUGGAUUUGGCCCUGGGGCCAUGGUCUACUGACCCCUGAUCUAGAUUGUCUUGAUUAUUCUUGGCCCUCUCUGUUUCCCAUGUAAUGCUUAGAAUCAGCUUGUCAGUUUUCAGAAACCUGCUGGAAUUUUGAUGAGCGUUGCAUGGAAUCUGUUGACCAUUUUGUGGAAGAAUUGACAUCUUUGUAAUAUCUAGGCUCCUGAUUGGUCAUACAUACUUUUUGAUUGGUUUUCGGAUUAUAAUUGUGGACCUCUUCUAUUCUGUAGCUGUCUUAUUUGGAUUAGCAAGGGACUGUAAACAAUACAAUUUUACUCUGUGCUUCCAUUUGCCAUGGUUGUUCCUAUUUAUAGCAAUUACUUUUUGGAGGGAGAGUUUUGACUUUAGGGUUUUAGUUAUACAUAUUAGAAAAUACUUAGAAAAAUCAUCUCGCAUGAAAACUAAAAGGGCAGGAAUUUGACUCCAGAAUUUAAUAUUUUGUAAUUCCCAUGGUCAGCUGAUUUGAGUAUGUUUAUGUAAAUAUUGUGAUAAGACAUUUGUAUUUCUGCGCAUGCCUCUUAAGUUUUUAUACCCACUUGGGGUCUAUUUUUUAUGUUAAAUCGUGAAAUUUUUAUACAUACCUCUAAUGUUUUCAUACCUAGCUUUAGGGUUUUUGUUUUUUAGAAGUUUAUGAAAUACCUAACUGUAUACAAAUUUUCUAAAUAUUUAAACACCAAAUAUUUGUUUUACUUUUCAUCUAACCAAUGGGCAACACAUGUGUUUUUCUGUGAUUGUAUUUAGUGACUAUAUGCUAUGUUUGUACUUUAUUUCAAAUGUUUUUAUAUGUUAAAAAGGUCAUAGCAUUUCAUUGUAUUAAUGUAAACAUGGCUAAUUUUUGUGCAUAUUUUAAAAUUGAGUAUCUCUUAAUAUAUUUAUUCCAAAGGCUUUGAAAUUCUUUUAUGAAUACAAAAGGUUUUGAUAGUCUAACAUUUUGUUACAUCCUUGAACUUUGAAAAUUUGAAAGUGCAGUAUUGAUAAAUAAUUGCCAUUUAUAUGUAGUGUCGAAAGUAUAUUUCAGUUGGUUUUUUUCUGACCCCCAAAAUAAAAAUAAAAUGAUGACCCUUGGCUGUUGAUCAGCAAUUUAAUCUGAAAGCAAAGUACCCUAUCCUGUCAUGGAAAUUGCAUAUUAUAUGUGCAGGCAUGAGGCUUGCAGUAGUGAGUUAAUUACCUUUUACAACCAUGUCACCAUGUUCUCUUUUCCUUAUCUGUACGUCGUUUAGUGCCUCUUGCUUCCUUUAUCUUUCCCUCUGGCCAUUCUUUAUAUGUGCUCUUCUCUUUGUUCAGAGUUCCUUUCCUGCCAGUUUUUGCUUUACUAAUUCCUAGUGCAGGGAGCACUUCAGUAAUUAUGUGUUGAAAUCCUUUGGUGUGUCAGACAAAGGGGAUACCUCUGUAAACAAGGCCAGGCAUCAUGUUCCAUUUUAUCAAGUUAUGUUCUAAGUUUUAAGUAAAUCAAAUUGUUGGUUUACCUGUCUCACUCUUCCCUUGGACUAUGAACUCCUUGAGUUAAGUAUCCAUUUAUUUCCAGCACUAACAUAGUACCUGACAGAUGUUCAGUAACUGUUACUUAUGCUGGAAUGUCGCAGUUAUGGAUGAAAUUCUCAAGGCAUUCACAAAUUGGUUAGGAAGGCAGUUUGUUUAUAUUCAAAAUUUGAUUAUAAUAUUAGGUAACGAGUUGACAAGGGUUCUUACUGACUCUACCUUGUGGAGAAUAGUCUCCUCUUAGCACUUCCAUGAACUGAUCAUUGCUGAAUUGAAUCCAGAGCAGAUGGUUUUACACAACUUUAAUGAUCUAAGGUGUUUUUCCAGGCACUUUGAAUUAAUAAAUGGCACUUCAAGAAAUGGAACGAAACCCUCACAAGCCCUGAAACAGUAUCAUAUAUAGCUAAAUAAGUAAAUAAGUGGUCUCCCUCUUUAGUAUUGUGGUGUGUCCUCUGAUAAGUCUCUAGUCAGCUCCUGUCCCUGUGCCCAACAGUAGCUGUGCCAAGCCUUCACUGCUGUGCAGAGACCAUCUGGACUCUUGUCUCCACAAACAUUUUUCUUUUGCUUUGUAUCUUUAAUUUAGAUUCCUGCCUCCCAGAGGAAAUCAAGACUUUCAGGCCCAGUGAAACUCACUUCCCACCCUUGUGUUUACCUUACCUUAUUAUUCUCAUCUUUCUUCUUCUAGUCUCAGAAGAAGCUCUUCUUUCUCCCAGUUAGGGCUAAUCUCUCUGUGUCACUUAAAUUCAUUUUACAUUUUUAUCAAAGUGGUACAUACAUAGUUUUCAGAAAUCAAGAAAAACAGGCAGCCACUGCCCCAAGCCACCCUAGAUGUGUUUUCUAAUGACAUCUUUUCAUUCUUUAGCUGUUUCUUUUGGUAGUUACCUUCCUAUCACUAAAAAAUAUGCUGCUGCUUUCUUGAACUUCCACAUUUUAAACGUUAUAUAUUUACUCCCAGUUCUAACAGAUUUGCUUCUUCCACUACUCUAACCCCGUAUGUCUAAUACAUGUCACUGUUUUUAGAUAAGCAAACAAUGUCCACUGUAGAGAUAAGCAGUGUGUUAUAAUUAUAUUUCCUUUAGUGUAAUGGCUUUUCUAGAAUUUCCAAUUGUCUUCUUGAAAAAUCUUUAAAAUAAUUCUCCAACCCUACUCCCAAAAGCACCAUCUCUUUUUCUCUUGAGGUGAUCUCUCUCCCAUAUUUAUGCAUCUUCUUGCUUUUCACCUGGCUGGGUUGGCUGCUUGGUUGCUUUCAAGAUCUGCCAUAUGGCUGUUACUCCAGCAUUUCCCUUGAUUACCCUCCUGGAUUGGAUUCACUGUUUACUGAAUGUCAUGGCUUCCUGUUUGUGGUUUAGUGCUUCUUUUUGCCAGAGUGCAUGCUCAGGUAACUUAGUAAGAAAUUGUGGUUUGGAGGCAAAUUGUCUGAGUCUUGCGCCCCUGAAAUGUUUUUAUUCUAACCUCACACUUGAUUAUAAUUUGGGUAUAGAAUUUAAAGUCAAGCAUUUAAAAUGUUUUAAUUUAUUUAAACUAAAAACAAAAUUAGUUCACCCAUUUCUCCUAUGCCCACCCCUGCCUCUGGUAACCACCAAUCUGUUCUUUGUAUCUAUGAGUUUGGCUUUUAUCUGUCUGUCUGUCUAUCUAUCUAUCUAUUUUUAGAUUCCAUGUAUAAGAGAAAUCAGUAUUUGUCUGACUUAUUUCACUUAGCAUAGUACCCUUGAGGUUUAUCCAUAUUGUCAUAAGUGGCAAGAUUUCAUUCUUUUUUGUGGCUGAAUAAUAUUCGUGUGUUUGUGUGUCUGUGUUACACAUACAUACAUAUGUAUACACACACCACAGUUUUUUUAUCCAUUCUUCCACUGAUGGACCCUUAGGUUGUUUCCAUAUUUUGGCUAUUGUAACUCAUGUGCAGUGAACAUGGGAUGCAUAUAUCUCUUCAAGUUAGUUUUCUUGUUUUCUUCAGAUAAAUAUCCAGAAGCGUAAUUGAUGGAUCAUCUGAGGGUUCUACUUUUACUUUUCUGAGGAGCCUUCAUACUGCUUUCCGUGUGGCUGCACCUGUUUACAUUCCCCUCAACAAUAUACAAGGUUUCUUUUUUCCAUAUCCUUGCCAACACUAUUAUUUCUAACCUUUUUGAAAACAGCCAUUCUCACAGGUGUGGGGUGAUAUUGUGGUUCUGAUUUGUAUUUCUUGGCUGAUGAGCGAUGAUGAGUAUCUUUUCAUGUGUCUCUUGACCAUUUGUACAUUGUCUUUGGGAAAAUGUCUAUUCAGGUCCUCUGCCCAUUUUAAAAUCAGAUUAUUUGUAUUUUUGCUAGAGUUAUAGGAGUUCUUUAUAUAUUUUGAUCAGUAGCCCCUUAUCAGUUACAAGAUUUGCAAGUGUUUUCUCCCAUUCAGUAGGUUGCCUUUUCGUUUCGUUUUGUUGAUGGUUUUCUUUGCUGUGCAGAAGCUUUAUAGUUUGAUGUCAUCCCACCUGUUUAUUUUUGCUUUUAUUCUCCUUGCUUUUGAUAUCAGAUUCAAAAAACCAUUGCCAGGGCCUGUAUCAAGGAGCUUACACCUAUGGUGUUUUUCUAGGUUUUGUCCUAGGAGUUUCAUGGUUUCAGGCCUUACUUUCAAGUCUUUAGUCCAUUUUGAGUUAAUUUUUGUGUACAGUGUGAGAUAACACUGUAGUUGCAUUCUUUUCUACAUGACUCUUCACUUUUCCGAGUAUCAUUUAUUGAAAAAACUGUCCUUUCUCCAUUUUAUAUUCUCGGCUCCUUUUCAUAAAUUAAUUGACCAUAUACACAUGGGUUUAUUUGGGGGCGCUCUGUUCUGUUCCAUUGAUCUAUGUGUCUGUCUGUAUGCCAGUACCAUACUGUUUAAUACCAUUUAUGUACUAUAUAGUAAAGUUGGACAUAAUUAUUCCUCAAAAGUUUAGGAUCACCAUUCUAUUUUCUUCUGCCAGUCAAUAUAGGUGCUAUACUGUUCUGAUUCUCUUCCUUUUUAGAUGAUGUCUCCCUAUUGCUAGAAACUUUAUUCCCCCCUGGUAUUCUAAAAUUUCACAGUGGUUUUUUUGUUUGUUUAGUUUUAAUAGUUAUAGUGAUUAUUUACUAAGCUAGACCUUUUCUGUCUGAAAAUUAGAGUCUUUUAACUCUUAAAUCUUUCUAUUUCUUCAUUAAUUUUAUUUUUCUUGUUUUCUGUUUUUCUGGAACUCCUCAUUAGUAGGUUUUUGGACCUGCAGGAUUGAUUAUAUUUGUCUCUUUUUCAUUUGAUUGUACUUUCUGAGAUACUUCUAAUCUUUUUAUUGCAUUUUAUUUGGAGAAUUUUUAAAUUUUUGUGCAGUUUUCUUGGUUCUGAUCAAGUUUUAUUCUUGAUUUAUGUUUACAGUAUCUCAUUAUGAAUCUUUCUGAGGAUAUCAUUUGAGGGUUUUUUAAAAGUUAUCUUCUGUCUUUUGCAUUAUCUCUGUUUUUUCUCCAGAUUUAUGACCCGUUUACCUUUGGUCUCUUCCUUCCAUUUUGGAGACAUUCCUCAAGUUUCUAGUGAUCCUUGGUUGUCCAUUUAUAUUUAAGAGCGGGGGACACUGACAAGCUAAUUGGAAGCUCUGUGUGCAUAUGAGGCGCUCAUCAACUGUUGGUGCGCCCAGUCAACAGAUUCAGGCCUUGCUUAUGUGGUAGGGCAGAGAACUGCCAAUGUUAGAGGACCCUCGGAUUCAAGAAUAUAGGGGCAUUCAUCCCAGAGAAAGUCUAGUUGAUGGUUCUGAAUAUAGAUUUUAAUUUACACAUUUUUAGCCCCAAGUCUUACCCCUGUCCUUCCCCAGCACCUCUGGUAUCUGAGAAUUCUGACUCUCCCUGGGUUUCUGUGGGCAGACCAGCCCCGUUUUGAUUGUAUGUCCUUCUACCAGCAUUCUAAACUCCAGCUUCUUCUUGCAUAUGUUACCACUCAUGUUUGCCCUUUGUCUUCCAGAAUUUAAAAACCAUUUGCUGGCGGUCCCCUUUCUGUUUAUAGUCAAUUUAUGUGUAUUGACAUUCCUUGUGAUGACUCUGUGUGGUGUCAACUUGGCUAGGCUAUAGUACCUUUCAUAGAGUUCCCUUAUGUGUUUCUGAUUAGGGUGGGUCACAAAGAGAUUUUUUCAUCUGAUGUGAAAUAUUUAUCCCUGAACAACUAAAAAAAAAAAGAUUCUUACCUGUUUCCCAGAAAAGGAUAUAUAGUCCCUUUCAUCUUUUUGUCUUUGGGAAAAUCUUCAUUCUUCUCCUAGCUGGUUCACAUUCUCUCUUUGAUACUCUGUAAUUGAAAUUUUGAGAUAUAGGGGCACCUGGGUGGCUCAGUUGCUUAAGCAUCCACCUUUGGCUCAAGUCAUGAUCUUGCAGUUUGUGAGUUCGAGCCCCUCAUCAGGCUCUGUACUGACAACUUGGAGCCUGGAGCCUGCUUCACACUGUGUCUCCCUCUCUCUCUCUCUCUGCCCCUCCCCUGUUUGUGCGCUGCACCUCUCUCUCUCUCUCUCUCUCUCUCUCUCUGUCUCAAAAAUAAACAUUAAAAAAAAUUAAAUUCUGAGAUAUAAAAUUAACUAUUAUUAAUACAUCUAAUGUUAGAGGAUGACAAAGAACGAUCAACCAAGGACAUUUAACUAAUACAUGUGUAUGUAUUUAAACAUAUAGUAUCAAAUUAAGGAAGAAAUACUCGUAACUAUUACAGUCCUGCUUUCUGCAACUGGUCAUGUAACCAUAGUUGGUAUUUAUAACUGUAUUCUUCCACUACACAUUUCAUAGUCCCUUUGUUCUCAGCAUGCAUUUCAGUUGGUCCUCGUUUUUUGCCUAGUGGAGUGACCCAAACCUUCAUUCUUGAAAGGUCUGGGCUCUUGGCAGUCCUGCCUGGAUUGAGUGAUUGUAGUUUUCUGUUGACUUUGAUCACAGGACAUGCAAGCGCUAAGAGGUGUUCUAGAGGCUCUCCAUUCCAGACAUUUUCCUCCGUACCCUCAUUGUGUCCUAGUGACCCAAUAUCCCCUUGCAACUCAGGACCAAUCACUACCAGCCAAUGUAGUUACUUCUUUCUUGGCCUGUUUAUUCAGAACCCAAGUAGCCAGGUGGCAGUCUCAAGUUGAAUUUAAUGGAGUUACUGUGGUGUUUCCUGAUGGAAGCAUUCUUCCUUUGAAACUAAGACUUCCAGACCAGCAAAAAGCCUAAUGUCAACAGGGAUAGGAAAUAAAUAUUCUCCUGAAACUGAAUUUAGCAUUCUUCAUUGAUUUCCCAAACAAAUGAAAGAAAAACUCUCUGUUUCUCAUUAAAAUCAUGAAAGGCAUCAUCAUCCAUUUAGUCGCCUAAGCCAGGAAACUUGGAAUUGUCCUAAAUUUUUCCCUUUCUAUUAUCAUUUUAAUUUCACUUGUUAGAAAGUCCUAUCCAUUUUACCUUUCUUCACAUCUUUCACUUUUACCUCCUUCUCUACAUCCUCAUAUCAGUCACUGCCUUAGAACAGGCUUCACUUUAACUUACUCAAAUUGUA